GAUGAAGAACGCAGCGAAAUGCGAUAUGUAAUGUGAAUUGCAGAAUUCAGUGAAUCAUCGAAUCUUUGAACGCACAUGGCGCCUUCCAGUAUCCUGGGAGGCAUGCCUGUCCGAGCGUCGUUUCAACCCUCGAGCCCCCGUGGCCCGGCGUUGGGGAUCUGCCACGGCAGGCCCCUAAAACCAGUGGCGGACCCGAAGGCCCUCUCCUUUGCGCAGUAGCAUCAGCCUCGCAUUGGGAUCCCUCGGCGUCCUGCCUCUAAACCCCCCACAAGUCCGCUCCGGCGGCACCAAGGUUGACCUCGGAUCAGGUAGGAAUACCCGCUGAACUUAAGCAUAUCAAUAAGCGGAGGA
RNAcentral lists this unclassified non-coding RNA (351 nucleotides) under soil metagenome. RNAcentral's name for it is "partial contains 5.8S ribosomal RNA, internal transcribed spacer 2, and large subunit ribosomal RNA". The stretch from base 1 to 120 matches the Rfam family "5.8S ribosomal RNA", at positions 35 to 154 of the family's 154-position model. The record is from RNAcentral.